Molecule: transfer RNA, 63 nt
Filed under: Ictidomys tridecemlineatus (thirteen-lined ground squirrel)
Lineage: Eukaryota; Metazoa; Chordata; Mammalia; Rodentia; Sciuridae
Description: Spermophilus tridecemlineatus (thirteen-lined ground squirrel) tRNA
Rfam family: tRNA
About the family: Transfer RNA (tRNA) molecules are approximately 80 nucleotides in length.
Source: Rfam by way of RNAcentral
GGGGCUGGAGCUCAGUGGUAGAGCGCUUGCCUAGCAUGCAUGAGGAUUCGAUCCUCAGCACCA